This 253-nucleotide ribosomal RNA is filed under the name uncultured bacterium. RNAcentral's name for it is "partial 16S ribosomal RNA". It matches the Rfam family "Bacterial small subunit ribosomal RNA", at positions 524 to 776 of the family's 1533-position model. The record is from RNAcentral.
UACAGAGGUCUCAAGCGUUGUUCGGAUUCAUUGGGCGUAAAGGGUGCGUAGGUGGCGCCGUAAGUCAGGUGUGAAAUUUCGGAGCUUAACUCCGAAACUGCAUUUGAUACUGCGGUGCUUGAGGACUGGAGAGGAGACUGGAAUUUACGGUGUAGCGGUGAAAUGCGUAGAUAUCGUAAGGAAGACCAGUGGCGAAGGCGGGUCUCUGGACAGUUCCUGACGCUGAGGCACGAAGGCUAGGGGAGCAAACGGG